This 728-nucleotide ribosomal RNA is filed under the name Salmonella enterica. RNAcentral describes it as "partial 23S ribosomal RNA". It matches the Rfam family "Bacterial large subunit ribosomal RNA", at positions 2206 to 2925 of the family's 2925-position model. Lineage: Bacteria; Pseudomonadati; Pseudomonadota; Gammaproteobacteria; Enterobacterales; Enterobacteriaceae. The record is from RNAcentral.
UUUAAUGUUUGAUGUUCUAACGUGGACCCGUAAUCCGGGUUGCGGACAGUGUCUGGUGGGUAGUUUGACUGGGGCGGUCUCCUCCUAAAGAGUAACGGAGGAGCACGAAGGUUGGCUAAUCCUGGUCGGACAUCAGGAGGUUAGUGCAAUGGCAUAAGCCAGCUUGACUGCGAGCGUGACGGCGCGAGCAGGUGCGAAAGCAGGUCAUAGUGAUCCGGUGGUUCUGAAUGGAAGGGCCAUCGCUCAACGGAUAAAAGGUACUCCGGGGAUAACAGGCUGAUACCGCCCAAGAGUUCAUAUCGACGGCGGUGUUUGGCACCUCGAUGUCGGCUCAUCACAUCCUGGGGCUGAAGUAGGUCCCAAGGGUAUGGCUGUUCGCCAUUUAAAGUGGUACGCGAGCUGGGUUUAGAACGUCGUGAGACAGUUCGGUCCCUAUCUGCCGUGGGCGCUGGAGAACUGAGGGGGGCUGCUCCUAGUACGAGAGGACCGGAGUGGACGCAUCACUGGUGUUCGGGUUGUCAUGCCAAUGGCACUGCCCGGUAGCUAAAUGCGGAAGAGAUAAGUGCUGAAAGCAUCUAAGCACGAAACUUGCCCCGAGAUGAGUUCUCCCUGAGACUUAGAGUCUCCUGAAGGAACGUUGAAGACGACGACGUUGAUAGGCCGGGUGUGUAAGCGCAGCGAUGCGUUGAGCUAACCGGUACUAAUGAACCGUGAGGCUUAACCUUACA